GGAUGAACGCUGGCGGCGUGCCUAAUACAUGCAAGUCGAACGCUUUGUGGUUCAACUGAUUUGAAGAGCUUGCUCAGAUAUGACGAUGGACAUUGCAAAGAGUGGCGAACGGGUGAGUAACACGUGGGAAACCUACCUCUUAGCAGGGGAUAACAUUUGGAAACAGAUGCUAAUACCGUAUAACAAUGACAACCGCAUGGUUGUUAUUUAAAAGAUGGUUCUGCUAUCACUAAGAGAUGGUCCCGCGGUGCAUUAGCUAGUUGGUAAGGUAAUGGCUUACCAAGGCGAUGAUGCAUAGCCGAGUUGAGAGACUGAUCGGCCACAAUGGGACUGAGACACGGCCCAUACUCCUACGGGAGGCAGCAGUAGGGAAUCUUCCACAAUGGGCGAAAGCCUGAUGGAGCAACGCCGCGUGUGUGAUGAAGGGUUUCGGCUCGUAAAACACUGUUGUAAGAGAAGAAUGACAUUGAGAGUAACUGUUCAAUGUGUGACGGUAUCUUACCAGAAAGGAACGGCUAAAUACGUGCCAGCAGCCGCGGUAAUACGUAUGUUCCAAGCGUUAUCCGGAUUUAUUGGGCGUAAAGCGAGCGCAGACGGUUAUUUAAGUCUGAAGUGAAAGCCCUCAGCUCAACUGAGGAAUUGCUUUGGAAACUGGAUGA
RNAcentral lists this ribosomal RNA (659 nucleotides) under Weissella cibaria. RNAcentral's name for it is "bacterial SSU rRNA". It matches the Rfam family "Bacterial small subunit ribosomal RNA", at positions 27 to 640 of the family's 1533-position model. Lineage: Bacteria; Bacillati; Bacillota; Bacilli; Lactobacillales; Lactobacillaceae. The record is from RNAcentral.